GCGUUCCCGCCUGUCCUGGUGACUCGGGCUCCAGGAGCAGGCUUGGCCUUUAAUUUUGCGGCUCUGACCACCGUAAGCAAAGCACAGGAACCUCGAGAUACGUGCGAGCUUGCCUCGAAGUUCCGCGCGCGAAGGCGGUGCACGGGCGUAUAUGUACGCGCUGGUGCGUGUGCUAGCUAGUGGUUCGGCCUCAUUGCCAGGCCCCCUCCCGCCCCCUGCGCCCGGAGCAGGGACUGAGGAGCUGCUCUCUGCUGGGGGCUCGCGGCUCGCCCACCCAUUCCAAAUUUAACCAUUACCUAAAUCCGAAGGGAAAUGAGCAAACCUCUCGGAUGGGGCGUCAAGGUAUUUUCAGCCCUGCUGGGCGUAUUUAUCCCCAAGUGUUUCCACAACAAGUUAUUUCGGGGGCUGCGGGGCCGCUCCAGCUCCCUUCAGACUUUGGCCCUUUAGAGCAGCCCUGUAAUAGCUAGUGUGAUAAUAAGGGCCCCCAGACGGGGGUGAGGGGAGGAGGGGCGGCCUCGGAGCUCUCAAGAUGUUGGGGACUGCAGGUCCGGGGAACAUGGGAGCCUCCAGGCGCCUGGGAGUGGGUGGGAAGUGGACUGCAGAUCGGGGGGGGGGGCGGGGGGCGGAAAGGCUAAGACCCCUCCCCAGGUUGGGGGAGGUUUAGAAUCCCCAGGCCCGGGGAGCUUCAGAGCCCCCAGGAACCUAGGUGGGGGUAGGAGGUGGAUUUCAGCCUGAGAGCGGUCAGAUCCCCGAACUCGAGGGGUGAGACACUGUUGAGAUUGCUGCGGGGGGCAGUGCCAGGCGCGCUGGGUUCGGAAGUGCGUGCUGACAGGAGGGGGCCAGCAAGAUUGGGGGGACCGAAGCCUUCAGAGGAGGGGGCGGGGUGCGAUUUCCGAGGUGCGUCCCUCGGGUUCCUUACUCUUCCCCUUCCUCCUCCUCCUGGUCCUUCUGCGCCGCCCAAGUCAAUCUGUGUCCCGAAUCUGUAACUUGUUCUCGCUUCGGAAGUCGCCCUCUGGGCCAAGAAUAGUUCAGUUUUCUUUCGUGUCAUUUUCAGAGCCCAGUGUUAACCCAUUCUCCUCCCUUCAUCAGCCAGUCAAGGGCAAAAAGCCGAGAGGGAGGAAAGUGGAAGGAGAGACCCAGGCCUCUCUAACCUCGGCCUCCGCACCUUGCCUGGAGCCUGCGCUCCGGCACCCUGGUGGCCCCGAGACCAAAGGAAUUGAUGGGGGAGGGAGACCAGUCCGACUCCCGGGGCUUUGGUCUGGGGAGGGGGUGUGUGUGAGGAGUAACUGCAAGCCUGACCCGGGGAGGGGGGGCGGCGCGGCGGCGAUCAACCCAGAGCGGUCUGUGCUAGCGCGGCUCCCUAACGCUCAGGAAGUGAAGUUUGUGGUUUUGGGGGCUGAGCUCGGAAGGAGUUUUGAAAGAAAAAAAAAAGGCAGCCAGAGAGAGCGCGGUCUUCCAAAAGCGAGACUCAGUUUGAAAAGGGGCUGGAGAGAGCAGCGGCUCCAGCGUGCGGACCCGUGCGUGGCGACGCCAGCUGCACCCUGGAGGCAGCCUUCCCACGAAUUGUAUCUGUGGCCUUGGCCGGGCGCCGACGGGGCAUGGGGUAAAGAGAGGGAGUCCCAAGGAGCAGGGCUCUGCCCCAGGUCCUGAGAAGACCGAACCUUGGCUUCCUUUUCUUCCUUCCUCAAUCUCGCCAAUCCAAGGGAGCACUGGUCCACUGCCCUGGGUGGGCAUCUCUGACAGCGAGUACCGGUGGAAAAGUCAGAGACAGCAUAUUUGGGUGACCAGGCCUGGCCUUGGGGGAUGCCCGCUAAAUGGGUCCAGGUUAGAAUGAGAGGAAUGACUUUUCUUGAAAACAUCUCCAGCGUAGCUCAGAACCGCCGUUCUGGAAUCUGGGGAACAACUGAAGUCGCGAGCGUAAGGACCAGAGGCCCUCGUCAAGCCUCCCCACGCUCCAUUCUCUCCCCCUGCUUGCCCCGCACUACACAUUCUUAAGGAUGCUUUGAAGGGCAGGUGGACCAGUACCGUGGGAUUUGUCAACUGUCCCUCCGCCCGAGGGUGCCGGAUGCUCAAAGACGUCUUACGUCGGCUUUCAUUUUCCUUCCAUUUUAAUUUUUGUUCGUGGAGCUGGCUAGCUUGGAGCUGUUUGUGGGGGUAUGCAGUAGGAUGUCAGUUCUUGAACGCAGAGACUGUUUCGUUUUUGUCUUUGAGUCUGCAGGGCCUGCCACUUAGCAGGCUCGGAAUAGACUUUGGGUGAAUCGAAUUGAC
Molecule: long non-coding RNA, 2268 nt
Organism: Phascolarctos cinereus (koala)
Lineage: Eukaryota; Metazoa; Chordata; Mammalia; Diprotodontia; Phascolarctidae
Source: Ensembl